RNAcentral lists this ribosomal RNA (533 nucleotides) under uncultured bacterium. RNAcentral describes it as "bacterial SSU rRNA". It matches the Rfam family "Bacterial small subunit ribosomal RNA", at positions 355 to 896 of the family's 1533-position model. The record is from RNAcentral.
UGGGGAAUAUUGCACAAUGGACGGAAGUCUGAUGCAGCAACGCCGCGUGCGGGAUGACGGCCUUCGGGUUGUAAACCGCUUUCAAUUGUGACGAAGCUUUUUUGUGACGGUAGCAGUAGAAGAAGCACCGGCUAACUAUGUGCCAGCAGCCGCGGUGAUACGUAGGGUGCGAGCGUUGUCCGGAUUUAUUGGGCGUAAAGAGCUUGUAGGCGGUUUGUCGCGUCGGGAGUGAAAACUUGGGGCUUAACCCUGAGCUUGCUUUCGAUACGGGCUGACUUGAAGGAGGUAGGGGAGAAUGGAAUUCCUGGUGGAGCGGUGGAAUGCGCAGAUAUCAGGAGGAACACCGGUGGCGAAGGCGGUUCUCUGGACCUUUCCUGACGCUGAGAAGCGAAAGCGUGGGGAGCGAACAGGCUUAGAUACCCUGGUAGUCCACGCCGUAAACGGUGGGUACUAGGUGUGGGGGACAUUCCACGUUCUCCGUGCCGUAGCUAACGCAUUAAGUACCCCGCCUGGGGAGUACGGCCGCAAGGCUA